RNAcentral lists this long non-coding RNA (250 nucleotides) under Nicotiana benthamiana. Its description in RNAcentral is "long non-coding RNA (NBEN_LNC008054)". Lineage: Eukaryota; Viridiplantae; Streptophyta; Magnoliopsida; Solanales; Solanaceae. The record is from RNAcentral.
GGGGUACUCAAGGUGAAAAUGUAGAUGAUUUUUCCCAUCUAAAUGAGUUUCAAGUUUAUUUGUCGCAGGGACUAGAGAAUGAGAAUCCAGACGGCUCGUUCGACCUUUUGGAUUGGUGGAAGGCAAGGGAAAAGCAUUUUCCCAUUCUUGCAAGGAUGGCUGGAUGUUCUGUCGAUUCAAGCGUCAACUGUUGCAUCGGAGAGCGCCUUUAGUCAAGCAAGACUACAAAUAGGUGAUCACAGGGCGUCGA